GAGAAGAAAGAAGCUCCAUGAGGUGUAUUGCCUUCCCUUUAUCCUUUGUUGGCAUUACAUUUACAGUCAUUACUCAUUAUUAGUCUUUCCACCUCAUGCUAGAUGCAUAAAAAAGUAGAAAGCAAGCAAUUCAUGGGGGAUGAAUUCUGUGUGUUUAUUAUGUUGACGUACGAAAAUGACAGAUCCUAUGUUACACUAAUUAAAAAAAAAGUUUUACCGGUUAGUUAUGGAUGCAUGUUUGAAGUAUUUCUCAGAAAAUCAACAAUGUUAAGUGAUGGCAAUCAUUUACUGUCACACUUUGCAACAAAUUACUUCUUAAUAUCUGGAUAUGCAGUAGAAAUCACAUGAUUGGAUGAUUGCAAGUUUGCUAUGUCUCCAUGGCAAUCUGAAAGUCAUAUGCAGUUUCUGGUGAAUUCUGUCCUUUUGAUUGUGUAUAUGAUCUCUAGGGUACAAAUUUUUGGUAUCAUUGAUGUGCAACUGAAUUAGCUCAUGCAUGGGUAAUAUAAAUUGAUUAUGAAUCCACAUGCUCAACUCAACUCAACUCAAC
Molecule: unclassified non-coding RNA, 547 nt
Filed under: Hevea brasiliensis (rubber tree)
Lineage: Eukaryota; Viridiplantae; Streptophyta; Magnoliopsida; Malpighiales; Euphorbiaceae
Source: RNAcentral